AUCUCCAAAAGACCAUCAGAUGCUGUGGUUGCAUGAAGGUUCAUUCAAUUUGCAAGAAUUCAUCCACUCAUACGCAUGUAUAUGAAAUCCAUGUGUGUCCCUCAGAAUGGCUACGACAAGCGCCUUCUAUGCCGUUCUCUG
Non-coding RNA from Leptonychotes weddellii (Weddell seal), 141 nucleotides. The record is from RefSeq and is a predicted model, not a curated record. NCBI's taxonomy places the organism in Eukaryota, Metazoa, Chordata, Mammalia, Carnivora, Phocidae.